RNAcentral lists this ribosomal RNA (395 nucleotides) under uncultured bacterium. RNAcentral describes it as "bacterial SSU rRNA". It matches the Rfam family "Bacterial small subunit ribosomal RNA", at positions 505 to 898 of the family's 1533-position model. The record is from RNAcentral.
GUGUCAGCAGCCGCGGUAAUACGUAGGUGGCAAGCGUUAUCCGGAUUCACUGGGCGUAAAGAGCACGCAGGCGGUCCUUCAAGUCGGAUGUUAAAUCUCCCGGCUUAACUGGGAGCUGUCAUUCGAUACUGCUGGACUUGAGGACAGUAGAGGGAGGUGGAAUUCCCGGUGUAGUGGUGAAAUGCGUAGAUAUCGGGAGGAACACCAGUGGCGAAAGCGGCCUCCUAGGCUGUUUCUGACGCUGAGGUGCGAAAGCGUGGGGAGCGAACAGGAUUAGAUACCCUGGUAGUCCACGCUGUAAACUAUGGACACUAGGUACAGGGAGUAUCGACCCUUCCUGCGCCGUAGCUAACGCGUUAAGUGUCCCGCCUGGGGACUACGGUCGCAAGACUAAA